Molecule: long non-coding RNA, 305 nt
Organism: Lagopus leucura (white-tailed ptarmigan)
Lineage: Eukaryota; Metazoa; Chordata; Aves; Galliformes; Phasianidae
Exons: 2
Source: RefSeq, a predicted model, not a curated record
CCUCACCUUGGAAGGGACAGGGCAUCCAUCACAUGUCUGGGGACUUCACCUGACUGCCUCGACUUCUCAAAUACCACUGAGAGUGGCUCGGUGACUGCAGCGGUGAAUUCCCUCAAGGCUCUGGGACUCGUCUCAUCAGAACCCAAAGACUCCUGGAUGCUCAGGUCCUCAGGUGGUCCAGAACCUGAUCUCCCAUCACAGUGUGGGAUAGGGAGGGGUCUGUGGGAUCGGCUUUGCUUCCUCAGUCCCCACCUACUAAACCAAAGGUGAAGGCAGUGUAUAAUGAGCAGUUAUCAGAGAAGAUG